Molecule: long non-coding RNA, 389 nt
Filed under: Homo sapiens (human)
Lineage: Eukaryota; Metazoa; Chordata; Mammalia; Primates; Hominidae
Description: non-protein coding lnc-ARHGEF26-15:1
Source: RNAcentral
GCCAUUCAUGAGGCCAGGUUGGUUCCACAAUGGAAAAGCUCUUUAUAAGCUAUAAAAUGCUGUACACAUAUAAACUCUUGGGAUUACAGAUUUUGAAAUUUACCCCAAAGAUAUAUUGUGUUUUGCUUAUUCAGAAGGAAUGGUGCUAUGUUGCAAACAACAGCAGAAGCAUCAAUAGUGUUGGAUAAACAAUUCCAGUUAGGCCCAUUUUUCAUGGUGAUAUGAUCUGAAACACUCUCAUCGUCUAAUUUAAAAUACUCACGAAGAUAUAUUAAAUUGUAAAAACGUUCAGGAUUACAGAAAACCAAGCAUGUGGAUGUUGAGAGAAAGGGGUGAGCGGUUCUACUAGUUGCGGUUCAGUAGGGUUAGACUGAGAAACACAACUGACU